GGUUCAUGAUGACAUAGGACCUUGUCUGAACAUAAUGAUUUCAAAACUUGAGCUUCAGAUGACACUGAAAUC
This 72-nucleotide small nucleolar RNA is filed under the name Propithecus coquereli (Coquerel's sifaka). RNAcentral's name for it is "Small nucleolar RNA SNORD107 (ENSPCOG00000008952.1)". It matches the Rfam family "Small nucleolar RNA SNORD107". The record is from Rfam by way of RNAcentral. Lineage: Eukaryota; Metazoa; Chordata; Mammalia; Primates; Indriidae.